This 806-nucleotide ribosomal RNA is filed under the name uncultured bacterium. RNAcentral describes it as "bacterial SSU rRNA". It matches the Rfam family "Bacterial small subunit ribosomal RNA", at positions 8 to 794 of the family's 1533-position model. The record is from RNAcentral.
AGAGUUUGAUCAUGGCUCAGAACGAACGUUAGCGGCGCGCCUAACACAUGCAAGUCGAGCGAGAAAGGGAGCAAUCCCCGGUAAAGCGGCGCACGGGUGAGUAACACGUAGGUAAUCUGCCUCUGAGUGGGGGAUAACCUUCCGAAAGGAGGGCUAAUACCGCAUGAGACCACGCCUUCGAGAGGAGGAAAGGUCAAAGCCGGCCACUAUACAUAAGCUGGCGCUUGGAGAUGAGCCUGCGGCCCAUCAGCUAGUUAAUAAGGUAAUGGCCUACCAAAACGUAGACAAAUAGCUGGUCUGAGAGGAUGAUCAGCCACACUGGAACUGAGACACGGUCCAGACUCCUACGGGAGGCAGCAGUAGGGAAUCUUGCGCAAUGGGCGAAAGCCUAACGCAGCGACGCCGCGUGAGUGAUGAAGGCCUUCGGGUUGUAAAGCUCUGUGGAGGGGGAAGAAUAAGGGUAACCCAACACGUCGCCCGAUGACGGUACCCCUUUAGCAAGCACCGGCUAACUCUGUGCCAGCAGCCGCGGUAAGACAGAGGGUGCAAACGUUGUUCGGAAUUACUGGGCGUAAAGCGCGUGUAGGCGGCUUGGCAAGUCGGGUGUGAAAGCCCUGGGCUCAACCUAGGAAGUGCACUCGAAACUGCUUCGCUCGAGUAUCGGAGAGGAAAGCGGAAUUCUCGGUGUAGAGGUGAAAUUCGUAGAUAUCGAGAGGAACACCGGUGGCGAAGGCGGCUUUCUGGACGGUUACUGACGCUGAGACGCGAAAGCGUGGGGAGCAAACAGGAUUAGAUACCCCGGUAGU